GAGCUAAGUUACGUGGAGCUUCAAAAAUAAUAGGUGUUGAUUUAAAUCCAGAAAAAUUUGAAAUUGGGAAGAAGUUUGGACUAACAGAUUUUAUUAACCCUACAACAUGUGGUGAGAAAUCGACUAGCCAGAUAAUAAAAGAGAUGAGUGAUGGUGGAGCUGACUAUUGCUUUGAAUGUAUUGGAUUGGCCUCCUUAAUGCAAGAGGCUUUUACAAGAUCUCGAAAGGGUACUGGAAAGACUGUAAUACUUGGAAUAGAGAUGCACGGCACACCGUUAAGUAUUAACCCUUAUGAAUUGGCGGCUGGAAAAACUAUUACAGGAUCCAUGUUUGGUGGUGUCAAAGCUAAACUUGACAUUCCCAUUUUUGCUAAUCAAUAUUUAAAUAAUGAGUUGAACUUGGAUGGAUUCAUAACACACGAAGUUAACUUUGAAGAUAUUAACAAAGCAUUUGACUUACUUGAAGCAGGCAAAACGUUGCGUUGUAU
This 487-nucleotide unclassified non-coding RNA is filed under the name Hevea brasiliensis (rubber tree). The record is from RNAcentral. Lineage: Eukaryota; Viridiplantae; Streptophyta; Magnoliopsida; Malpighiales; Euphorbiaceae.